UGAGGAAUAUUGGACAAUGGGUGGAAGCCUGAUCCAGCCAUCCCGCGUGAAGGAUGACGGUCCUAUGGAUUGUAAACUUCUUUUGUACAGGGAUAAACCUGCCCUCGUGAGGGCAGCUGAAGGUACUGUACGAAUAAGCACCGGCUAACUCCGUGCCAGCAGCCGCGGUAAUACGGAGGGUGCGAGCGUUAUCCGGAUUUAUUGGGUUUAAAGGGUCCGUAGGCGGACUUAUAAGUCAGUGGUGAAAGCCUGUCGCUUAACGAUAGAACUGCCAUUGAUACUGUAAGUCUUGAGUAUAUUUGAGGUAGCUAGAAUAAGUAGUGUAGCGGUGAAAUGCAUAGAUAUUACUUAGAACACCAAUUGCGAAGGCAGGUUACCAAGAUAUAACUGACGCUGAGGGACGAAAGCGUGGGGAGCGAACA
RNAcentral lists this ribosomal RNA (422 nucleotides) under uncultured bacterium. Its description in RNAcentral is "bacterial SSU rRNA". It matches the Rfam family "Bacterial small subunit ribosomal RNA", at positions 355 to 774 of the family's 1533-position model. The record is from RNAcentral.